This 495-nucleotide ribosomal RNA is filed under the name uncultured bacterium. RNAcentral describes it as "partial 16S ribosomal RNA". It matches the Rfam family "Bacterial small subunit ribosomal RNA", at positions 28 to 507 of the family's 1533-position model. The record is from RNAcentral.
GACGAACGCUGGCGGCGUGCCUAAUACAUGCAAGUAGAACGCUGAAGGAGGAGCUUGCUCUUCUGGAUGAGUUGCGAACGGGUGAGUAACGCGUGGGUAACCUGCCUGGUAGCGGGGGAUAACUAUUGGAAACGAUAGCUAAUACCGCAUAACAGUAGAUGUUGCAUGACAUUUACUUAAAAGGUGCAAUUGCAUCACUACCAGAUGGACCUGCGUUGUAUUAGCUAGUUGGUGGGGUAACGGCUCACCAAGGCGACGAUACAUAGCCGACCUGAGAGGGUGAUCGGCCACACUGGGACUGAGACACGGCCCAGACUCCUACGGGAGGCAGCAGUAGGGAAUCUUCGGCAAUGGACGGAAGUCUGACCGAGCAACGCCGCGUGAGUGAAGAAGGGUUUCGGAUCGUAAAGCUCUGUUGUAAGAGAAGAACGAGUGUGAGAGUGGAAAGUUCACACUGUGACGGUAUCUUACCAGAAAGGGACGGCUAACUACGUG